RNAcentral lists this ribosomal RNA (301 nucleotides) under uncultured bacterium. RNAcentral's name for it is "partial 16S ribosomal RNA". It matches the Rfam family "Bacterial small subunit ribosomal RNA", at positions 509 to 807 of the family's 1533-position model. The record is from RNAcentral.
CAGCCGCCACGGGAAUACGGAGGGUGCAAGCGUUAUCCGGAUUUAUUGGGUUUAAAGGGUCCGUAGGCGGAUCUGUAAGUCAGUGGUGAAAUCUCACAGCUUAACUGUGAAACUGCCAUUGAUACUGCAGGUCUUGAGUAAAUUUGAAGUGGCUGGAAUAAGUAGUGUAGCGGUGAAAUGCAUAGAUAUUACUUAGAACACCAAUUGCGAAGGCAGGUCACUAAGAUUUAACUGACGCUGAUGGACGAAAGCGUGGGGAGCGAACAGGAUUAGAUACCCGAGUAGUCCCUGUCUCUUAUAC